GACGAACGCUGGCGGCGUGCCUAAUACAUGCAAGUCGAGCGGACCGGAUUGGGGCUUGCCUUGAUUCGGUCAGCGGCGGACGGGUGAGUAACACGUGGGCAACCUGCCCGCAAGACCGGGAUAACUCCGGGAAACCGGAGCUAAUACCGGAUAACACCGAAGACCGCAUGGUCUUCGGUUGAAAGGCGGCCUUUGGGCUGUCACUUGCGGAUGGGCCCGCGGCGCAGUAGCUAGUUGGUGAGGUAACGGCUCACCAAGGCGACGAUGCGUAGCCGGCCUGAGAGGGUGACCGGCCACACUGGGACUGAGACACGGCCCAGACUCCUACGGGAGGCAGCAGUAGGGAAUCUUCCGCAAUGGGCGAAAGCCUGACGGAGCGACGCCGCGUGAGCGAAGAAGGCCUUCGGGUCGUAAAGCUCUGUUGUGAGGGACGAAGGAGCGCCGUUCGAAGAGGGCGGCGCGGUGACGGUACCUCACGAGAAAGCCCCGGCUAACUACGUGCCAGCCGCCGCGGUAA
RNAcentral lists this ribosomal RNA (517 nucleotides) under uncultured bacterium. RNAcentral's name for it is "partial 16S ribosomal RNA". It matches the Rfam family "Bacterial small subunit ribosomal RNA", at positions 28 to 523 of the family's 1533-position model. The record is from RNAcentral.